UACAGAGGGUGCAAGCGUUGUUCGGAAUUAUUGGGCGUAAAGCGCGUGUAGGCGGCUUUGCAAGUCGGGUGUGAAAGCCCUCGGCUCAACCGAGGAAGUGCGCCCGAAACUGCAGAGCUUGAGUACCGGAGAGGAUGGCGGAAUUCCCCAAGUAGAGGUGAAAUUCGUAGAUAUGGGGAGGAACACCGGUGGCGAAGGCGGCCAUCUGGACGGAUACUGACGCUGAGACCCGAAAGCCAGGGUAGCGAACCGG
This 253-nucleotide ribosomal RNA is filed under the name uncultured bacterium. Its description in RNAcentral is "partial 16S ribosomal RNA". It matches the Rfam family "Bacterial small subunit ribosomal RNA", at positions 524 to 776 of the family's 1533-position model. The record is from RNAcentral.